RNAcentral lists this transfer RNA (73 nucleotides) under Felis catus (domestic cat). It matches the Rfam family "tRNA". From Rfam's summary of the family: Transfer RNA (tRNA) molecules are approximately 80 nucleotides in length. Their secondary structure includes four short double-helical elements and three loops (D, anti-codon, and T loops). Lineage: Eukaryota; Metazoa; Chordata; Mammalia; Carnivora; Felidae. The record is from Rfam by way of RNAcentral.
ACCUGGCUGGCCCAGUCAGUAGAGCAUGUGACUUUUGAUCUUAAGGUUGUGAGUUCAAGUCCCACGUUGGGUA